UCGCGGGGUAGAGCAGCCUGGUAGCUCGUCGGGCUCAUAACCCGGAGGUCGUUGGUUCAAAUCCAGCCCCCGCAAU
This 76-nucleotide transfer RNA is filed under the name Limosilactobacillus reuteri. Its description in RNAcentral is "Lactobacillus reuteri tRNA-Met". It matches the Rfam family "tRNA". Rfam says of the family: Transfer RNA (tRNA) molecules are approximately 80 nucleotides in length. Lineage: Bacteria; Bacillati; Bacillota; Bacilli; Lactobacillales; Lactobacillaceae. The record is from RNAcentral. RNAcentral also lists the same sequence under 1 other name.